Molecule: long non-coding RNA, 570 nt
Filed under: Olea europaea subsp. europaea
Lineage: Eukaryota; Viridiplantae; Streptophyta; Magnoliopsida; Lamiales; Oleaceae
Source: RNAcentral
UAAGACAAAGUUUUCUUGUUCUGUACAUCUUAUACCUGUGAUUAUCGCAUUUCUGGAAUCAUCAGUGUGCGCCUAUUCGGGAUACGAUAUUAAAGCGUAAAUGAUAAAAUGACAUAUAAUGAAUGAAAUUUUUAACACUUCCUUCUUAUUUAAUACUCCACCUUACCAAUGCGUCUCAAUAAAUUUCAUACUACAAUAACUAUAGAUUAACCAUGGCCAUUUAUUACAACAUAUUUCAUUCCUGAACAUAAACUAUGGUACAGCAAAUUUGAUGACCAAAAGGCACCAAAAUAGGUAUUCAUAUACCCCUAAAUAGAGUAGUUUGCCAUUCAAGAUGUAGUACGUAACAACCAAUGGGCUUUAAUGGUUGCAUUACACCACACAGACAAGCAUGUAUAUCCAGCAUUUAGACGGGCACGAAAUUUAUUGAACGGAGCUCUGGCUAGAGACCUCCAGUCCAUUCCCUGCAGAGCAAUAAUUCAAUGGAACAAAUUAAAACCGUGAUUCUAAUGUUUUUGGACAUUGAAUACAAUCAAAUCUGUUUCUUGGGCUACGACAGUCUAGAACCAA